This 292-nucleotide ribosomal RNA is filed under the name uncultured bacterium. Its description in RNAcentral is "partial 16S ribosomal RNA". It matches the Rfam family "Bacterial small subunit ribosomal RNA", at positions 505 to 796 of the family's 1533-position model. The record is from RNAcentral.
GUGCCAGCCGCCGCGGUAAUACGAAGGGUGCAAGCGUUGUUCGGAUUUAUUGGGCGUAAAGCGCGCGUAGGCGGACCCGCAAGUCAGAUGUGAAAUCUCAGGGCUCAACCCUGAAACUGCGUCUGAAACUACUGGUCUAGAAUCUUGGAGAGGGAAGGGGAAUUUCGCAUGUAGGGGUAAAAUCCGUAGAUAUGCGAAGGAACACCAGAGGCGAAGGCGCCUUCCUGGACAAGUAUUGACGCUGAGGCGCGAAAGCGUGGGGAUCAAACAGGAUUAGAUACCCCCGUAGUCC